CCAGCUGAGGGUCUGACUUAACCCCUUUCAGGGAGGAGAAUCUGAAGACUCAGUCUUGGCCAAGAAUUAAGAGUGGAUAAAAUGAUCCAGUGAGGAACAAGCCAUCAAAAAGCCUCUGAAGGGAACAAGGACAACUCCCUUCUUCAGGGAUGUAUUUUAUCCCACACUGUGAUUCAGCUGGAGAAGACUAGAGGCCACGAUCUCUGCUCUGGAGUCAGGAUGGAAGUAUUUGGCAGUGAUUCUAGUCUUCCACACACUCCCAAGUUCAUCUAAUUCACCCUGAGGAAGCUGAGGCUCAGAGAGGUGAUGGGACUCAUCAAAGACUCCGAAGCUGGCAGCUGCAUGUGAGGACUUCUUAAGAACAUGAAGAAAUGAAAGCUAACCCAAGGAGCUCUCUAUGCGCUUCUCCAUUCUCUCCUCAAGCUCUCAGAUUUUUGGAAUACCUAGUCCCUGAUAUUUCUUGGGAAAGAUACAGGUGCAGCUAUUUGUCCAUGGGCCUAUGAUUAACACUCAGCAUGGAGCUGGCACCCACUAAGCAUCGAAUAAUGAUCAUCUCUUGGAUUAUGAUCAUUUCCCCAUACUUGCUAUGUUCUGAAUGGGAAAUUACUGUUGGCAAGAGGUAUUUAGAGAUGUGAAGGGCUUUGCAUGCCCUAAAUACCUUCGAAAGAAAGGUUUGUUAAAACUAAAAGGUGUUCAGAUCAUUCAAUAAAGGUGAGGAACUUGGUGUGCCC
This 731-nucleotide long non-coding RNA is filed under the name Monodelphis domestica (gray short-tailed opossum). RNAcentral describes it as "lncRNA (ENSMODG00000046270.1)". Lineage: Eukaryota; Metazoa; Chordata; Mammalia; Didelphimorphia; Didelphidae. The record is from RNAcentral.